RNAcentral lists this long non-coding RNA (337 nucleotides) under Stegodyphus dumicola. Its description in RNAcentral is "uncharacterized LOC118183841, transcript variant X2". The record is from RNAcentral. Lineage: Eukaryota; Metazoa; Arthropoda; Arachnida; Araneae; Eresidae.
CUUAAAAUAUGCUUAGAAAUGAUUGGCAACAAGAUGUUUUAUUGAUACUUUCUGAUUAUCAACAUCCUACCAGAAAAGCCGCAAAAAGUAUCAAGGCAAUGCACCAUGUUGCCCAAAAGUAUUUAUGUGGCAACCCCAGAUAAAAGGUGGCAGCUGCCUAAAUUUUGGAUACUGUUGCAAUUUAUUACUUCUACUGAUGUGCUCGAAAAUAUUUUUGCAGCAUUUGUCACAUCUGUUUUGAAUCCUUAGCUACAGCUCUUGUACAUCGACGUGAACAUAAGAUAUUAAAAUACCGCUACAAAUGCCCACAUUGUUCCUAUUCCACUGAAAGGACUAC